Molecule: ribosomal RNA, 2902 nt
Filed under: Klebsiella pneumoniae subsp. ozaenae
Lineage: Bacteria; Pseudomonadati; Pseudomonadota; Gammaproteobacteria; Enterobacterales; Enterobacteriaceae
Description: bacterial LSU rRNA
Rfam family: Bacterial large subunit ribosomal RNA
Source: RNAcentral
UUAAGCGACUAAGCGUACACGGUGGAUGCCCUGGCAGUCAGAGGCGAUGAAGGACGUGCUAAUCUGCGAAAAGCGUCGGUAAGGUGAUAUGAACCGUUAUAACCGGCGAUGUCCGAAUGGGGAAACCCAGUGCAAUUCGUUGCACUAUCGUUAACUGAAUACAUAGGUUAACGAGGCGAACCGGGGGAACUGAAACAUCUAAGUACCCCGAGGAAAAGAAAUCAACCGAGAUUCCCCCCAGUAGCGGCGAGCGAACGGGGAGCAGCCCAGAGUCUGAAUCAGCUUGUGUGUUAGUGGAACGGUCUGGAAAGUCCGACGGUACAGGGUGAUAGUCCCGUACACCAAAAUGCACAGGCUGUGAACUCGAAGAGUAGGGCGGGACACGUGGUAUCCUGUCUGAAUAUGGGGGGACCAUCCUCCAAGGCUAAAUACUCCUGACUGACCGAUAGUGAACCAGUACCGUGAGGGAAAGGCGAAAAGAACCCCGGCGAGGGGAGUGAAAAAGAACCUGAAACCGUGUACGUACAAGCAGUGGGAGCACCUUCGGGUGUGACUGCGUACCUUUUGUAUAAUGGGUCAGCGACUUAUAUUCUGUAGCAAGGUUAACCGUAUAGGGGAGCCGCAGGGAAACCGAGUCUUAACUGGGCGUUAAGUUGCAGGGUAUAGACCCGAAACCCGGUGAUCUAGCCAUGGGCAGGUUGAAGGUUGGGUAACACUAACUGGAGGACCGAACCGACUAAUGUUGAAAAAUUAGCGGAUGACUUGUGGCUGGGGGUGAAAGGCCAAUCAAACCGGGAGAUAGCUGGUUCUCCCCGAAAGCUAUUUAGGUAGCGCCUCGUGAAUUCAUCUUCGGGGGUAGAGCACUGUUUCGGCUAGGGGGUCAUCCCGACUUACCAACCCGAUGCAAACUACGAAUACCGAAGAAUGUUAUCACGGGAGACACACGGCGGGUGCUAACGUCCGUCGUGAAGAGGGAAACAACCCAGACCGCCAGCUAAGGUCCCAAAGUCAUGGUUAAGUGGGAAACGAUGUGGGAAGGCACAGACAGCCAGGAUGUUGGCUUAGAAGCAGCCAUCAUUUAAAGAAAGCGUAAUAGCUCACUGGUCGAGUCGGCCUGCGCGGAAGAUGUAACGGGGCUAAACCAUGCACCGAAGCUGCGGCAGCGACACUAUGUGUUGUUGGGUAGGGGAGCGUUCUGUAAGCCUGCGAAGGUGACCUGUGAGGGUUGCUGGAGGUAUCAGAAGUGCGAAUGCUGACAUAAGUAACGAUAAAGCGGGUGAAAAGCCCGCUCGCCGGAAGACCAAGGGUUCCUGUCCAACGUUAAUCGGGGCAGGGUGAGUCGACCCCUAAGGCGAGGCCGAAAGGCGUAGUCGAUGGGAAACAGGUUAAUAUUCCUGUACUUGGUGUUACUGCGAAGGGGGGGACGGAGAAGGCUAUGUUAGCCGGGCGACGGUUGUCCCGGUUUAAGCAUGUAGGCUGGUUGUCCAGGCAAAUCCGGAUAAUCAAGGCUGAGGUGUGAUGACGAGGCACUACGGUGCUGAAGUAACAAAUGCCCUGCUUCCAGGAAAAGCCUCUAAGCAUCAGGUAACAUUAAAUCGUACCCCAAACCGACACAGGUGGUCAGGUAGAGAAUACCAAGGCGCUUGAGAGAACUCGGGUGAAGGAACUAGGCAAAAUGGUGCCGUAACUUCGGGAGAAGGCACGCUGGUGUGUAGGUGAAGUCCCUGCGGAUGGAGCUGAGACCAGUCGAAGAUACCAGCUGGCUGCAACUGUUUAUUAAAAACACAGCACUGUGCAAACACGAAAGUGGACGUAUACGGUGUGACGCCUGCCCGGUGCCGGAAGGUUAAUUGAUGGGGUUAUCCGUAAGGAGAAGCUCUUGAUCGAAGCCCCGGUAAACGGCGGCCGUAACUAUAACGGUCCUAAGGUAGCGAAAUUCCUUGUCGGGUAAGUUCCGACCUGCACGAAUGGCGUAAUGAUGGCCAGGCUGUCUCCACCCGAGACUCAGUGAAAUUGAACUCGCUGUGAAGAUGCAGUGUACCCGCGGCAAGACGGAAAGACCCCGUGAACCUUUACUAUAGCUUGACACUGAACAUUGAGCCUUGAUGUGUAGGAUAGGUGGGAGGCUUUGAAGCGUGGACGCCAGUCUGCGUGGAGCCAACCUUGAAAUACCACCCUUUAAUGUUUGAUGUUCUAACGUUGGCCCCUGACCGGGGUUGCGGACAGUGUCUGGUGGGUAGUUUGACUGGGGCGGUCUCCUCCCAAAGCGUAACGGAGGAGCACGAAGGUUAGCUAAUCCUGGUCGGACAUCAGGAGGUUAGUGCAAUGGCAUAAGCUAGCUUGACUGCGAGCGUGACGGCGCGAGCAGGUGCGAAAGCAGGUCAUAGUGAUCCGGUGGUUCUGAAUGGAAGGGCCAUCGCUCAACGGAUAAAAGGUACUCCGGGGAUAACAGGCUGAUACCGCCCAAGAGUUCAUAUCGACGGCGGUGUUUGGCACCUCGAUGUCGGCUCAUCACAUCCUGGGGCUGAAGUAGGUCCCAAGGGUAUGGCUGUUCGCCAUUUAAAGUGGUACGCGAGCUGGGUUUAGAACGUCGUGAGACAGUUCGGUCCCUAUCUGCCGUGGGCGCUGGAGAAUUGAGGGGGGCUGCUCCUAGUACGAGAGGACCGGAGUGGACGCAUCACUGGUGUUCGGGUUGUCAUGCCAAUGGCACUGCCCGGUAGCUAAAUGCGGAAGAGAUAAGUGCUGAAAGCAUCUAAGCACGAAACUUGCCCCGAGAUGAGUUCUCCCUGAGACUUUAAGUCUCCUGAAGGAACGUUGAAGACGACGACGUUGAUAGGCCGGGUGUGUAAGCGCAGCGAUGCGUUGAGCUAACCGGUACUAAUGAACCGUGAGGCUUAACCUU